RNAcentral lists this long non-coding RNA (583 nucleotides) under Citrus sinensis (sweet orange). RNAcentral's name for it is "long non-coding RNA (CSIN_LNC003137)". Lineage: Eukaryota; Viridiplantae; Streptophyta; Magnoliopsida; Sapindales; Rutaceae. The record is from RNAcentral.
UAACGUGUAGGGUCGGCCAAAACUGUACUUCUUGUUAUUAAAAACUGAAAAAGAAAAAAAAACCCUUUCAAAAUCUAACAAUACCUUCAAGUACACGGCCGUAAUCCUUAACUGAAAGCCUUUACCAGCAAAAAGGUACGAUGUUACAGUUUGAUCUUUCUUCUUAGUUUCUGUUAUUUUGCUGGUUAAAUUUAAUCGCCGCGGUCAUUUGUUUGUGUUUGUUUCUCUUCGACAUCAACGCCGCCGCACGGAUUUCAUUUGCCGUAGCUUUUCCCAGCAGCCAAACAGAUAAAUCAGGUUCAUUGUCUCAUAACUUUCUCCAAUUGGGUUAUUUUGCUUUCUUUAGAAAAUAGUAUUGGUGAUGUAAAACAAGCUCUGGAGGGUUUUUUUUUUUUUUUUUCAUUUCUUCAUCACACUAGAUACCUUUACACAUAGGUAAAUUAUUGGAACAAAGAUUCAGGGUUGAGCUGAUUUUGUAACCGAACACUGAAUUAAUAGUUAGUCCAGCUAGAAAAAUGAAAAAUAAAAUUAAGAAUAACUUCUGACAAUUGAUUUAGUGCCUAGCACAAAAUUAGCUUCGAGC